This 862-nucleotide ribosomal RNA is filed under the name Triticum aestivum (bread wheat). RNAcentral describes it as "partial small subunit ribosomal RNA". Lineage: Eukaryota; Viridiplantae; Streptophyta; Magnoliopsida; Poales; Poaceae. The record is from RNAcentral.
CAACCACCUCAUCUAUUUCAUCUCACCCAUUUCACUCCUUGCCAACUACUUUAGCCCACCUCAUCAAUUGCAUUCUUCAUCUAUCAACCGCAUGGAGAAAAGGAGAUCCAAGGCAAGAAUAGGAAAAGGAAGCAUUGGGUGAUUCCAUGAUUGACUUCUUAAUUCUUUGCCAGGAAAGAACUCCCCCUUUCUUGAAUCACUUCUCCUCAAGAUCAUCUCUUUCACCACAGCCUGAUCCUUUGUGUUUGUGAGAGAGUGUUCCUCUGGAUUCCUGACAUACACUUUGAUUGCAACUAUUUCAAGGAGUUCUUUCCAAGUGACUUUGCUUUGCUUAUUACUCUACAUCCUACCUCCUUCUUACUUGCAAGAUUGUUGCUUUCUGUUGCAUGCUACUCUUGAUAUCUUGCAUGUUAAGUUCGUGUGGUAGUCUAGUCCUUGUUGCUUAAGUUAAAACCUGCCAACCUUUAAAAUGGAAAAUAAUUAUGAGAUGUCAUGUCCAAGAAACAGAGCGUGUGAUUUCAUUCUAAGUGUACUUACUCUGCAAAAUUAUGUUUUCCAUGCACACAUGAGCUACUUACCAGUAUACAAUUAUUUCUUAAUUGCAAUUUCAAUCAUCUCACAUAUACAACUAUUUUGCAAUUGCAAUUUUGACCAUCUCACACGUACAACUAUUUUGCAAUUGCAAUUUUUACCAUCUCAAGAUAUACAUGUUGUUUUCAUAUGCAAAUAAAUAUUAAAAUUUGCAAAUAAAACAUCUUGACCGCUGGUUCAAAAACUUUUGUGUGAGGUUGAUAUCACGCUGAGGAGCUGUCGUGACAACGAGAAGCAGGACAUAGAGACGAGACGAAUCGCGAUGACAUGG